RNAcentral lists this long non-coding RNA (858 nucleotides) under Homo sapiens (human). RNAcentral describes it as "HSALNT0377623". The record is from RNAcentral. Lineage: Eukaryota; Metazoa; Chordata; Mammalia; Primates; Hominidae.
GCCAGAUGGUGUGGAGUCUUGCAGGCCACGGUAAGAAUGUGUGGGUUUUGCAUUUUACUUAGAGUGAAAAGAGAAGAGAUUACAGAUUGUUGUGCAGAGAGGCAACAUGAUCUGAUUUAUAUUUUUUAAAAAUUUCUCUGUGGAGUAUAUAUUGGGGGAGGGGAGCAAGGGUAGAAGCAGGGAGAACUAUUAGGAGGCUAUUAUACUAGUCCAGUGAGGGAUGAUGAUGGCUGGAAUUACCAUGGCAGCAGUGGAAGUGGCAGAAGUGAGAAUUCUGAUUAUAUUGUAAAGAUGCUGUCCGCAGGGUUUGCUAGUGGACUGGGUGUGCAGCAAGAGAGAAAAGAGGGGACAACGAGAACUACAUCAACUAGGAGAGUGAGAAUGGUGAUGUCAUUCCUAAGAAGGGGAAGCCUACAAGAGGAGUUAGUUUGGCAGAAGGGAAAAUAAUCAAGAUUUGUUUUAGACAUGGGUCAGCUCUGCUUCACCCCUGCUUUUGUAUGGAGUUCCAUCUGGGGGGAUUUCGCCCCCUGUUCCAGUCCUGAGGCCUCCUGACCCUGACAUUGUGAUACACUCCACAGAGAUCUGUUUCUUACAUUAUUAUUAUUGGAAAUAAUUAUUGUAAUAUUAUUAUGUAAUAAAUUUAUAAGAAAAAAUCCCAACAGGAUUCAUUUUUACACUAAAAAUUGAAUAUUUUGACAUUUGUAUUUAAUAGAAGAAAUGCAAAUAGUUGUAAAUGUAUGAAAAGAUGUUCCCCAUCACUAGAAUGCAUUCAUUUAGUUCAUAUAGUGCUUAAUAUAUGUCAGGCACUGCUCUAAGCACCAGGCAUCAUUCUAAGUCUUUGCAAAUGUUAUCUCAAUU